CAAUAGCGUAUAUUAAAGUUGUUGCGGUUAAAAAGCUCGUAGUUGGAUUUCUGUUGGGAACGACCGGUCCGCCCAUUGGGUGUGUAUCUGGCUUGUUCUCGGCAUCUUCUUGGUGAACGUUGCUGCACUUGACUGUGUGGAGCGCUACCCAGGACUUUUACUUUGAGGAAAUUAGAGUGUUUCAAGCAGGCAUAUGCCUUGAAUACAUUAGCAUGGAAUAAUAAUAUAGGAUCUUGGCCCUAUUUUGUUGGUUUCUAGAGCUAAGAUAAUGAUUAAUAGGGACAGUUGGGGGCAUUCGUAUUAACGCGUCAGAGGUGGAAUUCUUGGAUUGCGUUACGACGAACUACUGCGAAAGCAUUUGCCAAGGAUGUUUUCAUUGA
Molecule: ribosomal RNA, 380 nt
Filed under: uncultured eukaryote
Lineage: Eukaryota
Description: partial 18S ribosomal RNA
Rfam family: Eukaryotic small subunit ribosomal RNA
Source: RNAcentral